AAGCAUUUGCCUAGUAGUGCUUGUCUCAACCAGCCGCCACUCCAUCUCCAUCCCCUCCCCUCUCCCGCCGCCGCCCCGCUCCCGCUCCCCCUCUCCCUCCCCGCCGCCCGCUUCGCCUACUCCAGAGGAGGCGGGGCCCGUGGAGGAGGACAACCUUCCCAGAUCCAGCGGGCAUGGGAAGUCGCCGCUGGCGCGCAACCAGAGCAUUGGAGGCAUCGGCGGCGGCGGGGAGCUGUGUCGGAUCCAGAACCUGGACGACGGCAUGGAGUUCGAGCUCGGGAAGGUGCAUGAGGAGGUCGUCCGUGAGGAGGUGCUGCUCGUUGGCGAGCAGAUGAGGUACGAUGUUGGAGGCGACGAAGGGGUCGUCUCCCUGAUGGUGAGCUGGACGCGCAGUGCACCCUCGUUCCUCCCUCUUUCCUACUUCAGGUGAGCAUCUCCACCCUCCUGGGAAGGUGAGAUUUUUUUGCAUUUCUUCCUUCUUCUUCAUCCUCUCUCUCCACUGUUUUAAUCUGCAUUUGAUUGUUGCACUGCAUCUAUGAGAUAUAUGAAUUUUGAUUGAGACAUUCAUCAUCACAUAAAUAAAAUGCUAACAUCCUCUAAAUUCCUUAAUGUAGUUGUUAAAUUGCUCUUCUCUUGCUGGAUUGCAUCCAUGAUUUGUUUAUCCUUGAAGCAAAUACCAUAACGUGAGCUUGAAGGUUUCAACGUGCUGGAUUGGUCGUCGGAUUGGAUGUCCUCGGUGACUUGUCAGGGUUAUUGCAGGAGCACCAGAAUCUGGGAUAGUUCUGGCAAAUAUCGCUGAUCCUCAGCAACCUAUUGAGUCAAGAUGGGAGGCUCAAUUCACUACUUGGCUUGCUCGCUCCGUGAUUGCUCGCUAGCUCUGUUUUGGUUCCAUGAUAACCAGUGUCAUGAAGUCUACCACCGGCUUUCCUUUUCCUUUUCUAUGCGCAGAUUAUUUGUUUUCUUCAGCUGCAGUUUUGAUGGACAGUACUUAGUCCAUGUUGAGUGAAGGAGCUGGUUUUGCGGCAUCAGUUGAACUUAGUCAAAUUAGGUGUGUUAUGUAUGUACGUUGGAGAUGAAAAUGUAACAUUAGCUCUAGAACUGGUUGCCUAUACUGAAGAAAUACAGGUACAUAUAUAGACUAAGGCUUGUGUCUCCUGGGUGCAUUUCCUAUAAAAUUAGCUCUCAUCACCAUAACAAAGGAGUGGGAUAUCAUAUACAGUAUGAUAGAUAUGGAAGACAACAAGCAAAAAUUCAGUUAUGAGUCCACCAACAGGAUUGUUGAUGCCCGUAGGAGGGGGACAUCGCAGUAGAUGGGCUGAAGUAGGAGGCUGAGAGAAAUGGGAAACAACGGAUUCUAACACAUAGUAGAUGCCUAAGAUGUCAUUGAUGCGCUAUUGAGGUUCAAUGAGCAUAUGGUAAAGAAAGGUAUCAAUGGAUUCACCAACGUAGAUUACAAGAGUAAAGGUUUAUCUAACGAGGCCUUGUCGCGGUGCUACAAGUGUUGCCCCCUCAUCCCAAAGGGCAAGGUGAAGGAAGGUGCCUAUGUGGUUCUUCUGCAGCUUGCAACGAGGAUUGUUGUGUCCAACCUGCACAAGAAUGCCAAGAAGUCCUUCUCGGAAACGAUUAAGGACAUGUAUCUGCACUACAACGAGAGAUCUGGACAGCUUCUUUGUGGCUUCCAAACUUAAAAUGUUUGUUUGAAAGUUAGUUUAGUUUUUUGUUGUGGAUUCAUAGCUUCUCACAUGUACCGUCCUCUUAGACCUUUAGAUUUCCAAAGAAAUUAAAUGAAGAUAUGGUGGUAUGGUCUCAAUAGUACAACUUAAAGCCUUUCAUGCUU
This is a non-coding RNA of Triticum urartu, 1837 nucleotides long. NCBI's taxonomy places the organism in Eukaryota, Viridiplantae, Streptophyta, Magnoliopsida, Poales, Poaceae. The record is from RefSeq and is a predicted model, not a curated record.